This 71-nucleotide transfer RNA is filed under the name Loxodonta africana (African savanna elephant). It matches the Rfam family "tRNA". Rfam says of the family: Transfer RNA (tRNA) molecules are approximately 80 nucleotides in length. Their secondary structure includes four short double-helical elements and three loops (D, anti-codon, and T loops). Further hydrogen bonds mediate the characteristic L-shaped molecular structure. tRNAs have two regions of fundamental functional importance: the anti-codon, which is responsible for specific mRNA codon recognition, and the 3' end, to which the tRNAs corresponding amino acid is attached (by aminoacyl-tRNA synthetases). tRNAs cope with the degeneracy of the genetic code in two manners: having more than one tRNA (with a specific anti-codon) for a particular amino acid; and 'wobble' base-pairing, i.e. permitting non-standard base-pairing at the 3rd anti-codon position. The record is from Rfam by way of RNAcentral. Lineage: Eukaryota; Metazoa; Chordata; Mammalia; Proboscidea; Elephantidae.
GCCCUGGUAGCUCAGUGGUUAAGCGUUCAGCUGCUAACCGAAAGGUCAGUGGUUCAAACCCACCAGCGGCU